UGGGGAAUAUUGGACAAUGGGCGCAAGCCUGAUCCAGCCAUGCCGCGUGAGUGAUGAAGGCCCUAGGGUUGUAAAGCUCUUUCACCGGUGAAGAUAAUGACGGUAACCGGAGAAGAAGCCCCGGCUAACUUCGUGCCAGCAGCCGCGGUAAUACGAAGGGGGCUAGCGUUGUUCGGAUUUACUGGGCGUAAAGCGCACGUAGGCGGACUUUUAAGUCAGGGGUGAAAUCCCGGGGCUCAACCCCGGAACUGCCUUUGAUACUGGAAGGCUUGAGUAUGGUAGAGGUGAGUGGAAUUCCGAGUGUAGAGGUGAAAUUCGUAGAUAUUCGGAGGAACACCAGUGGCGAAGGCGGCUCACUGGACCAUUACUGACGCUGAGGUGCGAAAGCGUGGGGAGCAAACAGG
This 404-nucleotide ribosomal RNA is filed under the name Actinomycetes bacterium. RNAcentral's name for it is "Actinobacteria bacterium partial 16S ribosomal RNA". It matches the Rfam family "Bacterial small subunit ribosomal RNA", at positions 355 to 776 of the family's 1533-position model. The record is from RNAcentral. RNAcentral also lists the same sequence under 1 other name. Lineage: Bacteria; Bacillati; Actinomycetota; Actinomycetes.